This 1166-nucleotide ribosomal RNA is filed under the name uncultured soil eukaryote. Its description in RNAcentral is "SSU rRNA". It matches the Rfam family "Eukaryotic small subunit ribosomal RNA", at positions 17 to 1190 of the family's 1831-position model. The record is from RNAcentral.
CCAGUAGUCAUAUGCUUGUCUCAAAGAUUAAGCCAUGCAUGUCUAAGUAUAAAUUCUUGUACGAUGAAACUGCAGACGGCUCAUUACAACAGUGAUAAACUAAUAGACUUUCGGGUUUUUAACCUUUUGGAUAACCGCAGUAAAUCGGGGCUAAUACAUAGAAGCGAUGGGCGACUGGUAACGGAAGCUCAGCGAUUAUUAGCAUUACUACCAAUACCUUCGGGUCUUGUGGUGAAACCGAAUAAUAUUGCAGAUCGAGGAUUUAUCUUCGACAAGUCUACUGUGUCACUGCCCUAUCAACUUUCGAUGGUACGGUAUUGGCCUACCAUGGUUGUAACGGGUAACGGGGAAUUAGGGUUCGAUUCCGGAGAGGGAGCCUGAGAAAUGGCUACCACUUCUACGGAAGGCAGCAGGCGCGCAAAUUACUCAAUCCCAAUACGGGGAAGUAGUGACAAUAAAUAUCAAUACCUAUCCUUAACGGAGGGCAAUUGAAAUGAACACAAAUUAAAACUCUUAAUUAACACAAUUGGAGGGCAAGUCUGGUGCCAGCAGCCGCGGUAAUUCCAGCUCCAAUAGCAUAUACUAAAGUUGUUGCAGUUAAAAAGCUCGUAGUUGAAGUUAAAGGUUUACUGGGCUAAAGUUAUUUGCCGCUCUGGUGGUUAAAUCAACUCCAGUAUCUCUUUUUUUAAUAGUUCAGCUUCUAUUAUCUUUGAUAGUAGUUGUUUGGACAUUUCACUGUGAGAAAAUUGUGGUGUUUAAAGCAGGCGUUUCGCCUGAUCUUUUGCAGCAUGGUAUGAUGAAACAUGACAUUUUACGCUAUUGGUUUGCGUCUAAAGUGUAAUGAUUAAUAGGGAUGGAUGGGGGUGUUCAUAUUGGUGGGCGAGAGGUGAAAUUCGUUGACCCUAUCAAGAUGAACUUCUGCGAAAGCAUUCACCAAAUACUUCCCCAUUAAUCAAGAACGAAAGUUUGGGGAUCGAAGACGAUCAGAUACCGUCGUAGUCCAAACUAUAAACUAUGUCGACCAGGGAUCGGUUAAAAUUUUUUUAAAAUUUAAUCGGCACCUUGUGAGAAAUCACGAGUGUUUAGAUUCCGGGGGGAGUAUGGUCGCAAGUCUGAAACUUAAAGGAAUUGACGGAAGGGCACACAAUGGAGUGGAGCCUGCGGCU